CCUACGGGAGGCAGCAGUGGGGAAUAUUGGACAAUGGGCGAAAGCCUGAUCCAGCCAUGCCGCGUGUGUGAAGAAGGCCUUCGGGUUGUAAAGCACUUUCAGUGGGGAAGAAAGCCUUGGGGCUAAUACCCUCGAGGAAGGACAUCACCCACAGAAGAAGCACCGGCUAACUCCGUGCCAGCAGCCGCGGUAAUACGGAGGGGUGCGAGCGUUAAUCGGAAUUACUGGGCGUAAAGCGCGCGUAGGCGGUCUGAUAAGCCGGUUGUGAAAGCCCCGGGCUCAACCUGGGAACGGCAUCCGGAACUGUCAGGCUAGAGUGCAGGAGAGGAAGGUAGAAUUCCCGGUGUAGCGGUGAAAUGCGUAGAGAUCGGGAGGAAUACCAGUGGCGAAGGCGGCCUUCUGGACUGACACUGACGCUGAGGUGCGAAAGCGUGGGUAGCAAACAGGAUUAGAUACCCGUGUAGUC
This 466-nucleotide ribosomal RNA is filed under the name Vreelandella stevensii. RNAcentral describes it as "partial 16S ribosomal RNA". It matches the Rfam family "Bacterial small subunit ribosomal RNA", at positions 338 to 795 of the family's 1533-position model. Lineage: Bacteria; Pseudomonadati; Pseudomonadota; Gammaproteobacteria; Oceanospirillales; Halomonadaceae. The record is from RNAcentral.